Molecule: ribosomal RNA, 250 nt
Filed under: uncultured bacterium
Lineage: Bacteria
Description: partial 16S ribosomal RNA
Rfam family: Bacterial small subunit ribosomal RNA
Source: RNAcentral
GCAAGUUGAACGGCAGCAUUAUCUGCUUGCAGAUAGAUGGCGAGUAGCGGACGGGUGAGUAAUACGUAAGAACCAAUCCUAGAGAGGGGGAUAACUUAAGGAAACUUGAGCUAAUACCGCAUAAUAUUGAGAAAUUAAAGGUCGCUAUGCAAAUAGCAAUCGCUCUAGGCUGGGCUUACGCCCGAUUAGCUUGUUGGUGGGGUAAUGGCCUACCAAGGCUACGAUCGGUAGCUGUUUUGAGAGGAAGAAC